RNAcentral lists this long non-coding RNA (255 nucleotides) under Nicotiana benthamiana. RNAcentral describes it as "long non-coding RNA (NBEN_LNC042192)". Lineage: Eukaryota; Viridiplantae; Streptophyta; Magnoliopsida; Solanales; Solanaceae. The record is from RNAcentral.
CAGUAUAUGUUUUUUUUUUCUCCCUCUCAUUCUUCCCCUUUAUCUUCACAGCUAGCUCCUUCACUCUAUUGUUGUGUAUUUGCUAUCUCAACAAUAUCAACAAUGGCGGAAGAUCAUCCAUUGUUGCCGAAUCGCGCCAUUGGAAAUAGAACAAACGGAGAGUGGAGGCGAAGCAGGAGCAGCAACAAAGAAGAAGAAAGCUAAACCUGUUCGUGUUGCUUCUCUCGAUGUAUUUCGUGGCCUCUGCGUUUUGGU